Molecule: transfer RNA, 74 nt
Filed under: Phycisphaerales bacterium
Lineage: Bacteria; Pseudomonadati; Planctomycetota; Phycisphaerae; Phycisphaerales
Description: tRNA-Arg
Rfam family: tRNA
About the family: Transfer RNA (tRNA) molecules are approximately 80 nucleotides in length. Their secondary structure includes four short double-helical elements and three loops (D, anti-codon, and T loops). Further hydrogen bonds mediate the characteristic L-shaped molecular structure. tRNAs have two regions of fundamental functional importance: the anti-codon, which is responsible for specific mRNA codon recognition, and the 3' end, to which the tRNAs corresponding amino acid is attached (by aminoacyl-tRNA synthetases). tRNAs cope with the degeneracy of the genetic code in two manners: having more than one tRNA (with a specific anti-codon) for a particular amino acid; and 'wobble' base-pairing, i.e. permitting non-standard base-pairing at the 3rd anti-codon position.
Source: RNAcentral
GCGCCCGUAGCUCAGUUGGAUAGAGCACCGGAUUUCUAAUCCGAAGGUCAGGGGUUCGAAUCCCUUCGGGCGUG